Cornus florida is the source of this 105-nucleotide small nucleolar RNA. RefSeq annotates it as small nucleolar RNA Z278. Lineage: Eukaryota; Viridiplantae; Streptophyta; Magnoliopsida; Cornales; Cornaceae. The record is from RefSeq and is a predicted model, not a curated record. The transcript has a single exon.
AAGGAUGAUCUAAUCCAUGUUGUUUGAGGUGCAGUAGAUCCAAGUCUCUGCUCUCCAGAGAGAACCUACUUGGUGAAGAGAUGUAAAUGAUAGGUAACCUUACUU